CGACCUGAGCUCAGGCAAGGCUACCCGCUGAACUUAAGCAUAUGA
This 45-nucleotide ribosomal RNA is filed under the name Desmodesmus insignis. RNAcentral's name for it is "partial 28S ribosomal RNA". Lineage: Eukaryota; Viridiplantae; Chlorophyta; Chlorophyceae; Sphaeropleales; Scenedesmaceae. The record is from RNAcentral.